This 420-nucleotide unclassified non-coding RNA is filed under the name Hevea brasiliensis (rubber tree). The record is from RNAcentral. Lineage: Eukaryota; Viridiplantae; Streptophyta; Magnoliopsida; Malpighiales; Euphorbiaceae.
AAGUAUUAUUGGACCAAAAAUUCCAAUCUAUAAACAAUCAUUCGUAGCUAAACCCUCUGAAAUGAAAUGGUCUAAGUUAUGACAUGAAAGCACAAGUGGUAAAAAACAAGAAAAAGAAAUCUAUAGCCAAUCCAUUGCACUGUGAUUCCUUACCAAGAAUACAAAAGUAAAUGAAUAUGUUGACUAGCAAAGCUAGCAACUUCAACAAAUAUGGCAACUAAUCCAGCAUCUUAAACUUAUAAAUCAACGCCUUGACUGGUGCAGGCGAGGCCUGUUACAGAACAUGCGACCAUUGGCCUUCACAAGUGCAGCUAUGGCCAAACUUAUGCUUGCCCAAAUCAGUGAAAAUAAUAAGUUCCAAACAUCAUUCCGAACUCUCCCCAGUGACAAGGUAGCAAAAAAUAAGCCAGUCAAAAUCAG